This is a long non-coding RNA of Malaclemys terrapin pileata, 202 nucleotides long. RefSeq lists it as uncharacterized. The transcript is spliced from 2 exons. The record is from RefSeq and is a predicted model, not a curated record. NCBI's taxonomy places the organism in Eukaryota, Metazoa, Chordata, Testudines, Emydidae.
CCAUCAUGCUCAUCAGCAUUGGAGUCCUCUCCUCCAGUUUCCGCACCGCUUUUAGGACCGCUCUUGGGUCAAGAUGCCUUCCCCCUUGUGGCGGGGAAGAGAUACUGCAGAGAUACCCUUCUUUCUUCUCAGUAUGGGUACUGGGUCUUUGAAUUAAGCAAAAAAUUGAAGUGGUGCAUAAUAAAUUAGAUACCUUUCUGCA